Molecule: ribosomal RNA, 253 nt
Filed under: uncultured bacterium
Lineage: Bacteria
Description: partial 16S ribosomal RNA
Rfam family: Bacterial small subunit ribosomal RNA
Source: RNAcentral
UACAGAGGGUGCAAGCGUUGUUCGGAUUUACUGGGCGUAAAGCGUGCGUAGGCUGUAUUGAGAGUCGCGGGUGAAAUCCCAGGGCUUAACCCUGGAACUGCCUGCGAGACCUCAGUACUAGAGUAUGAGAGGGGAUUGUGGAAUUCCUGGUGUAGCGGUGAAAUGCGUAGAGAUCAGGAGGAACACCGGUGGCGAAGGCGGCAAUCUGGCUCAUAACUGACGCUCAGGCACGAAAGCGUGGGUAGCAAACAGG